This 432-nucleotide ribosomal RNA is filed under the name uncultured bacterium. RNAcentral describes it as "partial 16S ribosomal RNA". It matches the Rfam family "Bacterial small subunit ribosomal RNA", at positions 29 to 506 of the family's 1533-position model. The record is from RNAcentral.
AACGAACGCUGGCGGCAUGCCUAACACAUGCAAGUCGAACGAGACCUUCGGGUCUAGUGGCGCACGGGUGCGUAACGCGUGGGAACCUGCCCUUAGGUUCGGAAUAACUCCCCGAAAGGGGUGCUAAUACCGGAUAAUGUCUUCGGACCAAAGAUUUAUCGCCUUUGGAUGGGCCCGCGUUGGAUUAGCUAGUUGGUAGGGUAAAAGCCUACCAAGGCGACGAUCCAUAGCUGGUCUGAGAGGAUGAUCAGCCACACUGGGACUGAGACACGGCCCAGACUCCUACGGGAGGGAGGAGGGGGGAAUAUUGGAAAAUGGGCGAAAGCCUGACCCAGCAAUGCCGGGUGAGUGAGGAAGGCCUUAGGGUUGUAAAGCUCUUUUCCCCGGGAUGAAAAGGACAGGCCCGGGAGAAAAAGCCCCGGCAAACCCCGU